AUACUUACCUGGAUGGGGUCAAUAGGUGAUCAAAAAGGCCCAAGGCCUAGGCUAGUAACCUCCAUUGCACGUAGGAGGGGUACUUGCCUAAGGUCUACCCAAGUGGUGGAGCCAAUGUCAUAAUUUGUGGUAGAGGUGGCCUGUGUUCGCACAGCCCCUGC
Molecule: small nuclear RNA, 161 nt
Organism: Quercus lobata
Lineage: Eukaryota; Viridiplantae; Streptophyta; Magnoliopsida; Fagales; Fagaceae
Product: U1 spliceosomal RNA
Exons: 1
Source: RefSeq, a predicted model, not a curated record